Molecule: ribosomal RNA, 904 nt
Filed under: uncultured bacterium
Lineage: Bacteria
Description: bacterial SSU rRNA
Rfam family: Bacterial small subunit ribosomal RNA
Source: RNAcentral
GUAAGCGGGUUGUGAAAUGUAGAAUGCUCAACAUCUGAAUUGCAGCGCGAACUGGCAGACUUGAGUGUGCGCACGUAGGCGGAAUUCGUGGUGUAGCGUGAAAUGCUUAGAUAUCACGAAGAACUCCAAUUGCGAAGGCAGCUUACGGGAGCACGACUGACGCUGAAGCUCGAAAGUGCGGAUAUCGAACAGGAUUAGAUACCUGGUAGUCCGCACGGUAAACGAUGGAUGCCCGCUGUUGACCCACCUGGGCCAGCGGCCAAGCGAAAGCAUUAAGCAUCCCACCUGGGGAGUACGCCGGCAACGGUGAAACUCAAAGGAAUUGACGGGGGCCCGCACAAGCGGAGGAACAUGUGGUUUAAUUCGAUGAUACGCGAGGAACCUUACCCGGGCUUGAAUUGCAGAGGAAUUUACCAGAGAUGGUAAAGCCCUUCGGGGUCUCUGUGAAGGUGCUGCAUGGUUGUCGUCAGCUCGUGCCGUGAGGUGUCGGCUUAAGUGCCAUAACGAGCGCAACCCCUUUCCUUAGUUGCCAUCAGGUCAUGCUGGGCACUCUGGGGAUACUGCCACCGUAAGGUGUGAGGAAGGUGGGGAUGACGUCAAAUCAGCACGGCCCUUACGUCCGGGGCUACACACGUGUUACAAUGGCCGGUACAGAGAGACGGUUGCUUGCAAAAGUAAUCAAAUCCUUAAAACCGGUCCCAGUUCGGACUGGGGUCUGCAACUCGACCCCGCGAAGCUGGAUUCGCUAGUAAUCGCGCAUCAGCCAUGGCGCGGUGAAUACGUUCCCGGGCCUUGUACACACCGCCCGUCAAGCCAUGAAAGCCGGGGGUGCCUGAAGUCCGUGACCGCAAGGAACGGCCUAGGGCAAAACUGGUAAUUGGGGCUAAGUCGUAACAAGGUAACC